UUGAGUCUGGGCAAGGACCUUAGCCACAUGUUAUCUGCCCUGUCUGUCCCUCUCAUCAUUUCCUUCCAACCCCGUCUCCCAGAAAUUACAUUCAUAUACUACUAAUUUGUUUUGCCAGUUGCAUACUAAUGGGAAUCAUCAUUUUUGUCUGGUUUCCUAAUUUUUUGUAGCAAACACAACAUUUUUGAAAAUAUUAUUUUUAGAAAUUGAUUAUGUUUGUUUUGCAUAAAUGGUCAUUCAUAUUUCUUUAGUAAAUGUCUGUGACCACUAAAAAUAAAUAUUGUAUUUUGUAAAAUCCAUUCUGUAAGAUUCCUGCGAUGUUGUUUUGUAUACUUAGGCCCUGUUCAGACCUGGUAUUAACAUGCGUCCUCAGUGAUCCGAUCACAAGUGGACGGCUUUAAGUACAGGUGUGAACGCACUCAAGACGCAUUGAGGAUGCAUUGAGAUCGGAUCUUUCAGACCACAUUCAGAGGUGGUCUGGGCCACAUAUGACCACAUUCUUUUAGUAGUUUGUUACGCGAAUGCGUCCUGGGCUACAUUAAGGACCGCCUACUCAUCUGAUGUCCAGCUGGGAUCCGCGGGAUCACCGCGCCCCUCAGAGCGGGGAAGUGAGAUCGGAUCACAAGUGGCCAGCGAUGACGCACGUGGAGACGCAUUCUAAUGCCAGAUGUGGACAGAUGUACUCAAAGCCGUCCACGUGUGAUUGGAUCACUGAGUACGCAUCUUAAUGCCAGGUCUGAACAGGGCCUCAGUAUCUAAGGUCAUCUGUAAAUCACAUGACUAAUCUGUGGAUGACAUAUGAGGACACUGGAUACGACUCUGAUGGCCAACAUGUUUGGUAGACUCCGAGCCCACAGGUGGAGGCUUGGGUGGAGUCGACAGACUGAACUAGCUCGCAGACUUCACCUGACGAAGAGAUGGUGGGAACGUCUGUUUGAAAUCCUCUGGAGCUACAGCAGCUUGUGAUUAGAUGAAUAACCUAGUUAGCAUGAGCAGUGGAGACGCCAUGGCUGAACAAAGAAAAGAAGUGGCAUCUACAGAAAGUCAAACAUCAUUCAUAGAAAAUCAAAGGAUGAUGUUUGAAUUGAAGUAUGAAUGACUGAAGGACAGUGCAGUCAAAGUAUUAGCUACAUUUCAAAGUAGAAAUGUCUACAGUUAAUGUAUUGAAAAAACAGCUAUACAGUCACGGCAUGUAUUUUCUUAAACAAGAGCAGAAAGUCAGGACAGAAAUGAAAAGCAGUCAUUGAUUUGUGGAUAAUGCAACGUACAAACAUAGA
Molecule: long non-coding RNA, 1277 nt
Organism: Sebastes umbrosus (honeycomb rockfish)
Lineage: Eukaryota; Metazoa; Chordata; Actinopteri; Perciformes; Sebastidae
Exons: 3
Source: RefSeq, a predicted model, not a curated record